Acanthosepion pharaonis is the source of this 98-nucleotide non-coding RNA. NCBI's taxonomy places the organism in Eukaryota, Metazoa, Mollusca, Cephalopoda, Sepiida, Sepiidae. The record is from the annotation of a GenBank genome assembly.
UUGAAACACUGUUUCCCAUAUGACCACUGAAGUUAAGCAACGUCGAGCCUGGCCAGUACCUAGAUGGGUGGCUGCUUGCAAAUGUAAGGUGUUGUAAG